UCCCCUUCGGGGGUGAUGCUUGUGGAAUGAGCGGCGGACGGGUGAGUAACACGUGGGCAACCUGCCUGUAAGAUCGGAAUAACUCCGGGAAACCGGGGCUAAUGCCGGGUAAUCCUUUUUCUCGCAUGGGAGAGAGGUAAAAGAUGGCCUUUGGCUAUCACUUACAGAUGGGCCCGCGACGCAUUAGCUAGUUGGUGAGGUAAUAGCUCACCAAGGSGACGAUGCKUASCCGACCUGAGAGGGUGAUCGGCCACACUGGGACUGAGACACGGCCCCAGAYUCCUACGGGAAGGCARCCAGUAGGGAAUCUUUCCGCAAUGGACGAAAGUCUGACGGAGCAACGCCGCGUGAACGAUGAAGGUCUUCGGAUCGUAAAGUUCUGUUGUUAGGGAAGAACAAGUACCGUGCGAAUAGAGCGGUACCUUGACGGUACCUAACGAGGAAGCCCCGGCUAACUACGUGCCAGCAGCCGCGGUAAUACGUAGGGGGCAAGCGUUGUCCGGAAUUAUUGGGCGUAAAGCGCGCGCAGGCGGUUUCUUAAGUCUGAUGUGAAAGCCCACGGCUCAACCGUGGAGGGUCAUUGGAAACUGGGGAACUUGAGGACAGAAGAGGAGAGUGGAAUUCCACGUGUAGCGGUGAAAUGCGUAGAUAUGUGGAGGAACACCAGUGGCGAAGGCGACUCUCUGGUCUGUUUCUGACGCUGAGGUGCGAAAGCGUGGGUAGCAAACAGGAUUAGAUACCCUGGUAGUCCACGCCGUAAACGAUGAGUGCUAGGUGUUAGGGGGCUUCCACCCCUUAGUGCUGAAGUUAACGCAUUAAGCACUCCGCCUGGGGAGUACGGCCGCAAGGCUGAAACUCAAAGGAAUUGACGGGGGCCCGCACAAGCGGUGGAGCAUGUGGUUUAAUUCGAAGCAACGCGAAGAACCUUACCAGGUCUUGACAUCCUUGGACCGCCCUAGAGAUAGGGUCUUCCCUUCGGGGACCAAGUGACAGGUGGUGCAUGGUUGUCGUCAGCUCGUGUCGUGAGAUGUUGGGUUAAGUCCCGCAACGAGCGCAACCCCUAAUCUUAGUUGCCAGCAUUCAGUUGGGCACUCUAAGGUGACUGCCGGUGACAAACCGGAGGAAGGCGGGGAUGACGUCAAAUCAUCAUGCCCCUUAUGACCU
Molecule: ribosomal RNA, 1164 nt
Filed under: Halobacillus sp. PS20
Lineage: Bacteria; Bacillati; Bacillota; Bacilli; Caryophanales; Bacillaceae
Description: bacterial SSU rRNA
Rfam family: Bacterial small subunit ribosomal RNA
Source: RNAcentral